UAGGGAAUCUUCGGCAAUGGGGGCAACCCUCGACCGAGCAACGCCGCGUGAGUGAAGAAGGUUUUCGGAUCGUAAAGCUCUGUUGUAAGAGAAGAACGUGUGUGAGAGUGGAAAGUUCACACAGUGACGGUAACUUACCAGAAAGGGACGGCUAACUACGUGCCAG
Molecule: ribosomal RNA, 166 nt
Filed under: uncultured bacterium
Lineage: Bacteria
Description: partial 16S rRNA
Rfam family: Bacterial small subunit ribosomal RNA
Source: RNAcentral